Molecule: ribosomal RNA, 555 nt
Filed under: uncultured bacterium
Lineage: Bacteria
Description: bacterial SSU rRNA
Rfam family: Bacterial small subunit ribosomal RNA
Source: RNAcentral
AAUAGAUACCCGGGUAGUCCAUGCUGUAAACGAUGAGUGCUCAUAUUUAGAAAAUUUUAGAUAUCAAGCUAACGCGUUAAGCACUCCGCCUGAAAAGUAUAGUCGCAAGACUGAAAUUCAAAGGAAUUGACGGGAGCUUACACAAGCGGUGGAGCAUGUGGUUUAAUUCGAUAAUACGCGCAGAACCUUACCAACUCUUGAAAAUGAAAAUAAAAAAUAUAUUAAUUUAUUUAUCACAGGCGUUGCAUGGCUGUCGUCAGCUCGUGUUUUGAAAUGUUUGGUUAAAUCCUUUAACGAGCGUAACCCCUAUCGUUAGUUGCCAUUUAAUUAUAAUUAUAUUUUUAAUUAAAGCACUCUAAAUGAAAAUGUCAGCGAUAUGUUGAAGGAAGGUGGGGAUGACGUCAAGUCUUCAUGGCCCUUAUGGGUUGGGCUACACACGUGCUACAAUGGUAAUUACAAUAAGAGGCAAUAAAUGUUUAAAAAAAUUGGAGCAAAAUCUAGAAAAAAUUAUCUCAGUUCGGAAUUAUGGGCUGCAACUCGCCCAUAAUGAAGGUU